CUCUUUUUUUAUUUUUCGUUUUUGCUUGUUGUCUGAAAAAGAGAACAGAGCACUAGAGAGAGGAGAACGAAACGGCUCAAGAGGAGGAGGAGGGGAGAGAGAGAGAACAAUAGAGAGAGGAUCGAGAGUGGAACGACAGAGAGUUCGAGAGCUUGAGAUGAGCUCACAGAUGAGGGGGGCAGAAGAGAACGAGACUUGAUGAAGAGGGGUGAAUAGAACAGGGCCGGUGGAGAGUGUAGCGGGCUGGAAGUAGGAAGCCAUUUGAGGGGAUGAGUUUAUAUUGCAAUUGUUAGAUGAGCUAGGAGCUAGACUAGCAGCACAGGAGAAUCUUUUUGGACAUCGGGGAUCACCAUGAAGGAUUUUGUAGUUAGACACACUCGUAGUAUAAGUAGUAAGUUCAUGUAGAAUACUAUAAAUAUGUUAGGACUUGAAACUUUUGUUUAGUUGGUUUACAAAUGUUAGAGAUAAGAGUACUCUCUUGAGAUGUAUAUAGAUAUUAGAACUUGUUGGAUUGGUUACAUAUAUUUGGAAGUUUAUGGAAAGCAUGCUUAUAUAUGAA
Punica granatum (pomegranate) is the source of this 559-nucleotide non-coding RNA. Lineage: Eukaryota; Viridiplantae; Streptophyta; Magnoliopsida; Myrtales; Lythraceae. The record is from RefSeq and is a predicted model, not a curated record.